AUCCAAAUAGUGGCAGUAUCGUAGCCAAUGAUGUUUAUCCGAGGCGCGAUUAUUGCUAAUUGAAAACUUUUCCAAAUAUCCAAAUAAAUCUUGAAAAGGAACAAUAAAUUUGGAGGUCUCACACUUUCUAAGUAUGUUUCAAAACA
Molecule: small nuclear RNA, 146 nt
Organism: Leptonychotes weddellii (Weddell seal)
Lineage: Eukaryota; Metazoa; Chordata; Mammalia; Carnivora; Phocidae
Product: U4 spliceosomal RNA
Source: RefSeq, a predicted model, not a curated record